GCAUUACAAAGCGAAACUGCGAAAGGCUCAUUAUAUAAGUUAUCGUUUAUUUGAUAGUACCUUACUACAUGGAUAACCGUGGUAAUUCUAGAGCUAAUACAUGCUGAAAAUCCCGACUUCGGAAGGGAUGUAUUUAUUAGAUACAAAACCAAUGCCCUUCGGGGCUCUCUUGGUGAUUCAUGAUAACUUCUCGAAUCGCACGGCCCCGCGCCGGCGAUGGUUCAUUCAAAUUUCUUCCCUAUCAACUUUCGAUGCUACGGUAUUGUCCUAGCAUGGUUGCAACGGGUGACGGAGGGUUAGGGCUCGACCCCGGAGAAGGAGCCUGAGAAACGGCUACUACAUCCAAGGAAGGCAGCAGGCGCGCAAAUUACCCAAUCCCGAUACGGGGAGGUAGUGACGAUAAAUACCGAUACAGGGCUCUUUUGGGUCCUGUAAUUGGAAUGAGUACAAUUCAAAUCCCUUAACGAGGAACAAUUGGAGGGCAAGUCUGGUGCCAGCAGCCGCGGUAAUUCCAGCUCCAAUAGCGUAUAUUAAAGUUGUUGUGGUUAAAAAGCUCGUAGUAGAAGCUCGGGCUCCGGCCGACCGGUCCGCCUCACCGCGUGCACUGGUUCGGCCGGGCCUUCACCUUCUGCGGAACCGCAUCUCCUUCACUGGGGGUGUCGGGGAAACAGGACGUUUACUGUGAAAAAAUUAGAGUGCUCCAGGCAGGCCUAUGCUCGAAUAGAUUAGCAUGGAAUAAUGGAAUAGGACGUGUGGUCUUAUUUCGUUGGUUUCUAGGACCGCCGUAAUGAUUAAUAGGGACAGUCGGGGGCAUCAGUAUUCAAUCGUCAGAGGUGAAAUUCUUGGAUCGAUUGAAGACUAACUACUGCGAAAGCAUUUGCCAAGGAUGUUUUCAUUUAUCACGAACGAAAGUUAGGGGAUCGAAGACGAUCAGAUACCGUCGUAGUCUUAACCAUAAACUAUGCCGACUAGGGAUCGGACGGUGUUAUUUCUUGACCCGUUCGGCACCUUACGAGGAAUC
RNAcentral lists this ribosomal RNA (1021 nucleotides) under Longitudinalis nabanheensis. RNAcentral's name for it is "SSU rRNA". It matches the Rfam family "Eukaryotic small subunit ribosomal RNA", at positions 71 to 1099 of the family's 1831-position model. The record is from RNAcentral. Lineage: Eukaryota; Fungi; Ascomycota; Sordariomycetes; Glomerellales; Plectosphaerellaceae.